GCAUGCAAAUGUUGACCAAAUUUAUUCCCUUUUGUUUCUUAUCUUUAGUUCAACCGAGUGAGAGAAAGAAAACAAAAACAAGAUUGGUCCUCUGUUUUUUUCUUUACACCAACCAGGAGAGAAAAGCUGAGAGAAAUGAGAGGGAGAGCUCCUUUCCCCUUCUCCUUGCAGCCGAGAGAGAAGAGCUGAGAGAAACCCAAAGAAACUCCAACCAGUCCUCUUUUCUUUUUCUUCAAUCUUGAACAUCAAUCAAGAAACAAGAAAAUUAUAACUCAUCCUAGCCAAGAAUUGGGGAAGAAAGGCAGAAAUUUCUAGCUCAAAAAAAAACGUGGGGAAAGAAGUUGAAACUAUAAGUUUCAUUGCAGCUUCCAUUCUUGCAAGAUCUAAGGUAAACUUGCUAGCCAAACUUUCCAUUUUUCUCAAGACACACUAAGAUGAUUGAUGCAUAUUAGUUCUAGCCACGGAAAUGGAAAUUUUGUGGGAAAGUACUCUCAUUAGAAGUUGAUUUAUAUGCUGAAAAUUUCCAGCUUUGACCGAGGGCGAAAUGAGUUCAAUUUACAGCCUCUUAUUUCGACCUUUGGAGGAGUUUCCACUAGGAAUUCAUGCUUAUAAGUGUUGUAAUUCUUUUUUAGUAUGAUAUAUAGCAUGUUGUCUCUGAUUUUGGUAGCAAAUUGGUGGCUUACGUGUGAGAAAAUUGGCAGCAACAAAGUUGAAUAACUCCUGUGAAACCAAUGGAGUGAAGCUACAAGUUUGGUUCCUUUCUCCCAAGAAAUCUUGCUGCAAUUUAUUUAAAUGUACCGUAUAUAUCUCCUAUUUCUCUUUCUAGGACCUGCACAUAUUGUAUUGUUUACCGUCAGGAGAAAUAAAACUUGAUUUGUGAAGAAACCUUGCUGGAAAAUCUGUUAAGUUAAUGAGCGUGGACUGACUGAUUGCAUAAAGCUGGAUAUAUCAGUUGUACUUUGAAUUUGGAGUGAAGUUUUGCUAAGAUUUCAUGUUUUGUAUCAUGACAACUAUGUAUAUAGACGUUGGUAUGUUUAUAUGGUUGAAUCAUAGUUGUAUGUUCAUUGAUUUGGCUGAAAAAUUGUCUAAGAAAGCUUGAACUUCGGGUGACAGUCACCUCUAGGCAGUUUUAGCAAAAUGAUCAUAACUUAGUGUAGAAAAAUCGAAAUUGAGUACCAUCAAUUGCGUUUGAAACUAGACUCAUAGAUCUUUCCAAUGGUGUAAAAUUAGAGCUGUGGUUCGUUUUAUAUAUGCACCAGAAAAUCAGCAAAAUUGACUGAAAAAUCGGUCCUGAACAAGUAAAAAUUGGGAUGCUGUGGUAACUUGUGACUCAAUUUGGAUUAACUUAUGAACCAAAUCUCCUUGAGAUGUCUGUUAAAGAUUGUUAGUAUUUCAAGUCUAGUUUUAAACGAGAUAAUUUGUAUGAGUUUUCGACAUUUAUAACUUAAGUUAUGAUUUUUCCAAAGAAAGAAUGCUUGAUGGAAUUUUAGCUUUGAUCGCUAAAUUUUCAAGAUGAUUUUAAGCUCAAUUUGUUCAAAACACCCUAGAAGACUUUAAACUACAAGUAUGUGUUGGAAAUGAACCAAAACCAUGGACCUUAAGUGGUUUAAACUCCAUUUAUUUCACUGUUUUCAUGGCUGGAAUUCUCCUUGAGGCUGACCGAAAGAGAGAGUGAUUUUAUUUAGCUUUAUUCUUGGUUUUGUGUGGUGAAAUCAACUUGUUAAUGUCCUAAACACGUGAUUAAACAUUAACUUUGGUAUAAGUAGUGAAUUGGAGUAGAAAAUGAAAGGUUUUGAGAGGUGAAAACUUCACUUUUACAUGUUUCAUGUCCCAAGCAAUAAAUUUCCCAUUUUAGUUAAGGAAAAUGAAAAUGAGUGUUAAAAUGCUAAUAUCAUGUUUACUAUAUAUUUUAGCCAUGUCAUGUAAUUUUUCCAACUUGCAUAUGUUCCAUUAGUUUGCUUAUGGAAAUUUAAGCUUGUGGAGUUGAACUUUUGCUUGAUGACCAGCCUUGGUAUGGAGAUAUGUGAGCUAAAUACUUGUCUAUUUUUUGUGGCUUUAUGGUCUGAAACUAGUAGCUUGUAUAGCCUAUCAUUUAUGGUCUUGAUUUGGAUGGUUUGGCCAUGAAAUUUUAUAUUGAAUCUGGAGAGGAAAUAUAGGAUAAAACAGGGGUUAUGCUGUCCAAAUUUUGGGGCAGCUUACUACCAUGAUUUUGGACUGAUUUGAUGAUGUACUUGCCUAAUAUGCUUAGCGAACCUUUAAGCUUUGCUUAUGUAUUGUAUUUUGGUUGAACUGGAAGGGUUUCAUUGGGAUUUUCUUCGAAAUUGCUGGCUAAAAUUGUGCUUGUUUGUCGAUGGAGAGUGCAGCCUAUUACAUUGUUGUUUUUCUAACCUUUUAGUAAUUGGUUUUGGCCAAAAACUUGUUCCAAACUUUGGAGGAGCCUUUUGUACGUGAAUUUGAGUGAAAACUAUAAAAAUUGGGAGGUGAAAACCUCAUGAUUGUACUUGUUUCAUGGCUGCGAAAAAAAUUCUGAUUUGGAGGGCAGUUUUGCACCUUGCUACCUUUUAGCCUCAACGUCUUUAGUUUGAAAGUCUUUUGGACACAACCUCGCUGACUUGACUUGAGAAAACCCUGUUUCUUUCAUUGGUUCGCUGUUGAAAAUUUCCCGCCAUGAAGCGAAUAAGGAACUUGUUGGUUAUUCAUGUUUCUUGAGUCCAAAAUGCUCUCAUACGCUUCAAAACCCUACUUGAGUUUUUGCCCUAGAGUAUACUUAAAUUUUUCCUUGAUUUGCAUUCUAAAUAUGGCUGUGUAUGUUGGGUUUUGAAAAAAAAAAUUAAAUUAACUUGAAGAGGUAUACGACUCAUAGUCGAGUCUAAAUUAUGAAUUCUGUUCACUUGGUUAUUCUUAGGGCUUGUCUGACCAAGGGGGCAAUCCAGGAGGAAACUUUUGAUGCUAUUUUUGCUUGAACUAGUGAGUGUUCCAACUGCAAGUUCCAUGCUACUUGUUGCGCAAAUAUGACCUGUAUAUGACUUGUUACUUGAAUUGACUUGUUAUUACAUAGGUGAGUGUGUACUUUAUCACACUCGACCUAACUUGACUGAAUUCCUAUUUUACUACUAUAAUUGAAUUGUUUACAAGUGAACUAAGAUUCAUGCGUAUGAGUUGAAAGUAACGGCCUGGAUCCUAAACCCCAUAGGCUAGUUAAUCGAGUCGAGUCGGCAAGGGCCUGGUCAAUUAGAUAACGAACCCUGGGUCUACUGUUUUGUCGAGUGGAGUGUUAUCUUCUCGACUAAUUGGUAUACUCGAGCAUUACCACCACUGUUUAUGUUUGGAGUUCGGGCCCGGUAGGGGGUUGAUUGGUGGAUGGAGGUUGGAGUUAAGUGGUGAUGUACUGGACUUGUUAUGAUUCCAUGGUUGACGGAGUGUCAACAGAUUCUAAACAAGUUGUCACAGAACCUGUUCUCGAGAACAAACUGUAUCUUUUUAUAUGUAUGUGUUAUCGGCUGUACAUAGUUAAAUGAGUUGUCUGGAUGUUAUGUUCUUUAUGGAAAAAUGUGAUCAUGCUAUCAUGUGAAUGCUAAAAUGCCUAAUUGCUUGUUGUUCUCUUGGAACUUCACUGAGUUUUUAGCUCAUCCCUUUAUUUGUUUUCCUUAACAGGGUAUGGUAAUGACAAGGACAAGAAUAGUGCUAGUUGUAAUAGGAAAUCUUAAUCUUGUAUUUCGACAACACUGUAUUAUGGUAUUAGUUUACAAGUUCUUAUCUUUUGGUCUAUAUUUUGGUUUGUAUAUUCGGAUGAUCAGUAGCAUGUAGAUGUUAUAUUGAAGAAUUUUAGUGUUAUUGAUUUGCUAUCCAAAGAAUAAGGAAUUCCAAAGUUGUAGUCUUUAUUUUAAAUAAUUGCAAUCCUAUUUAUACUUAGAGAAGUGAUUGAACUACUUGCA
Molecule: long non-coding RNA, 3935 nt
Filed under: Coffea arabica (coffee)
Lineage: Eukaryota; Viridiplantae; Streptophyta; Magnoliopsida; Gentianales; Rubiaceae
Description: long non-coding RNA (CARA_LNC005416)
Source: RNAcentral